This 591-nucleotide ribosomal RNA is filed under the name Oerskovia sp. K2012. Its description in RNAcentral is "bacterial SSU rRNA". It matches the Rfam family "Bacterial small subunit ribosomal RNA", at positions 81 to 685 of the family's 1533-position model. Lineage: Bacteria; Bacillati; Actinomycetota; Actinomycetes; Micrococcales; Cellulomonadaceae. The record is from RNAcentral.
UGCUGGGCGGAUCAGUGGCGAACGGGUGAGUAACACGUGAGUAACCUGCCCCAGACUCCGGGAUAAGCCUUGGAAACGAGGUCUAAUACUGGAUAUGAGAUGCCCCUGCAUGGGGAGUGUCUGGAAAGAUUUAUCGGUCUGGGAUGGACUCGCGGCCUAUCAGCUUGUUGGUGGGGUAAUGGCCUACCAAGGCGACGACGGGUAGCCGGCCUGAGAGGGCGACCGGCCACACUGGGACUGAGACACGGCCCAGACUCCUACGGGAGGCAGCAGUGGGGAAUAUUGCACAAUGGGCGAAAGCCUGAUGCAGCGACGCCGCGUGAGGGAUGAAGGCCUUCGGGUUGUAAACCUCUUUCAGCAGGGAAGAAGCGCAAGUGACGGUACCUGCAGAAGAAGCGCCGGCUAACUACGUGCCAGCAGCCGCGGUAAUACGUAGGGCGCAAGCGUUGUCCGGAAUUAUUGGGCGUAAAGAGCUCGUAGGCGGUUUGUCGCGUCUGGUGUGAAAACUCAAGGCUCAACCUUGAGCUUGCAUCGGGUACGGGCAGACUAGAGUGCGGUAGGGGUGACUGGAAUUCCUGGUGUAGCGGUGGA